AUUGAACGCUGGCGGCAUGCCUUACACAUGCAAGUCGAACGGCAGCAUGAUCUAGCUUGCUAGAUUGAUGGCGAGUGGCGAACGGGUGAGUAAUACAUCGGAACGUGCCCUGUAGUGGGGGAUAACUAGUCGAAAGAUUAGCUAAUACCGCAUACGACCUGAGGGUGAAAGUGGGGGACCGCAAGGCCUCAUGCUAUAGGAGCGGCCGAUGUCUGAUUAGCUAGUUGGUGAGGUAAAGGCUCACCAAGGCGACGAUCAGUAGCUGGUCUGAGAGGACGAUCAGCCACACUGGGACUGAGACACGGCCCAGACUCCGACGGGAGGCAGCAGUGGGGAAUUUUGGACAAUGGGCGAAAGCCUGAUCCAGCAAUGCCGCGUGUGUGAAGAAGGCCUUCGGGUUGUAAAGCACUUUUGUCCGGAAAGAAAUGGCUCUGGUUAAUACCUGGGGUCGAUGACGGUACCGGAAGAAUAAGGACCGGCUAACUACGUG
RNAcentral lists this ribosomal RNA (490 nucleotides) under uncultured bacterium. Its description in RNAcentral is "partial 16S ribosomal RNA". It matches the Rfam family "Bacterial small subunit ribosomal RNA", at positions 30 to 507 of the family's 1533-position model. The record is from RNAcentral.